Molecule: ribosomal RNA, 253 nt
Filed under: uncultured bacterium
Lineage: Bacteria
Description: partial 16S ribosomal RNA
Rfam family: Bacterial small subunit ribosomal RNA
Source: RNAcentral
UACGGGGGGGGCAAGCGUUGUUCGGAAUUACUGGGCGUAAAGGGCUCGUAGGUUGCCAACUAAGUCAGACGUGAAAUCCCUCGGCUUAACCGGGGAACUGCGUCUGAUACUGGAUGGCUUGAGUUCGGGAGAGGGAUGCGGGAUUCCAGGUGUAGCGGUGAAAUGCGUAGAUAUCUGGAGGAACACCGGUGGCGAAGGCGGCAUCCUGGACCGACACUGACACUGAGGAGCGAAAGCCAGGGGAGCAAACGGG